UGGCUCAGACGGUAAAGCAUCUGCCUGCAAUGCGGAAGACCCGGGUUCGAUUCCUGG
RNAcentral lists this transfer RNA (57 nucleotides) under Ovis aries (sheep). It matches the Rfam family "tRNA", at positions 8 to 63 of the family's 71-position model. From Rfam's summary of the family: Transfer RNA (tRNA) molecules are approximately 80 nucleotides in length. Their secondary structure includes four short double-helical elements and three loops (D, anti-codon, and T loops). The record is from Rfam by way of RNAcentral. Lineage: Eukaryota; Metazoa; Chordata; Mammalia; Artiodactyla; Bovidae.